UGCGUAGGCGGAUUAAUAAGUCAGUGGUGAAAUCUUUCGGCUCAACCGAGAAACUGCCAUUGAUACUGUUAAUCUUGAGUUCGGUUGAGGUAGGCGGAAUGUGUAAUGUAGCGGUGAAAUGUUUAGAUAUUACACAGAACACCAAUUGCGUAGGCAGCUUACUAGACCGACACUGACGCUGAGGCACGAAAGCGUGGGGAGCGAACAGGAUUAGAUACCCUGGUAGUCC
RNAcentral lists this ribosomal RNA (229 nucleotides) under uncultured bacterium. RNAcentral describes it as "partial 16S ribosomal RNA". It matches the Rfam family "Bacterial small subunit ribosomal RNA", at positions 568 to 796 of the family's 1533-position model. The record is from RNAcentral.